RNAcentral lists this ribosomal RNA (440 nucleotides) under uncultured bacterium. Its description in RNAcentral is "partial 16S ribosomal RNA". It matches the Rfam family "Bacterial small subunit ribosomal RNA", at positions 338 to 795 of the family's 1533-position model. The record is from RNAcentral.
CCUAGGGGAGGCAGCAGUGAGGAAUAUUGGUCAAUGGCCGAGAGGCUGAACCAGCCAAGUCGCGUGAGUGAAGAAGUAUUUCGGUAUGUAAAGCUCUAUCAGCAGGGAAGAAAAUGACGGUACCUGACUAAGAAGCCCCGGCUAACUACGUGCCAGCAGCCGCGGUAAUACGUAGGGGGCAAGCGUUAUCCGGAUUUACUGGGUGUAAAGGGAGCGUAGACGGUGCAGCAAGUCUGAUGUGAAAGGUCGGGGCCCAACCCCGGGACUGCAGUGGAAACUGUUGAACUGGAGUACAGGAGAGGUAAGCGGAAUUCCUAGUGUAGCGGUGAAAUGCGUAGAUAUUAGGAGGAACACCAGUGGCGAAGGCGGCUUACUGGACUGUAACUGACGUUGAGGCUCGAAAGCGUGGGGAGCAAACAGGAUUAGAUACCCCAGUAGUC